GACGAACGCUGGCGGCGUGCUUAACACAUGCAAGUCGAACGGUAAGGCCCCAGCUUGCUGGGGUACACGAGUGGCGAACGGGUGAGUAACACGUGGGUGACCUGCCCCGCACUUCGGGAUAAGCCUGGGAAACUGGGUCUAAUACCGGAUACGACCGCACCGUGAGGGUGUGGUGGAAAGUUUUUCGGUGUGGGAUGGGCCCGCGGCCUAUCAGCUUGUUGGUGGGGUAAUGGCCUACCAAGGCGGCGACGGGUAGCCGGCCUGAGAGGGUGGACGGCCACAUGGGGCUGAGGGAGGGGCCAGAACGCCAACGGGGGGAAGGGGCGGGGAAAUGUCGAAAAGGGGCGGAAGGCGGGGGGAGGGCCGCCGGGGGGGGGAGGACGGCUUUUGGGUGUUAAAAACUUUUCAACAAAGAAGAAGGUUUUUGAAGGGAAGUUGGAAAAAAACCACGGGUAACUACGGG
This 463-nucleotide ribosomal RNA is filed under the name uncultured bacterium. Its description in RNAcentral is "partial 16S ribosomal RNA". It matches the Rfam family "Bacterial small subunit ribosomal RNA", at positions 28 to 507 of the family's 1533-position model. The record is from RNAcentral.